GACGAAGGGGGCUAGCGUUAAUCGGAAUUACUGGGCGUAAAGCGUGCGCAGGCGGUUCGUGAUGUCUGGUGUGAAAGCCCCGGGCUUAACCUGGGAAUUGCAUUGGAAACUAGCGGGCUGGAGUGUGGCAGAGGGGGGUGGAAUUCCACGUGUAGCAGUGAAAUGCGUAGAGAUGUGGAGGAACACCGAUGGCGAAGGCAGCCCCCUGGGCUAACACUGACGCUCAUGCACGAAAGCGUGGGGAGCAAACAGG
This 253-nucleotide ribosomal RNA is filed under the name uncultured bacterium. RNAcentral's name for it is "partial 16S ribosomal RNA". It matches the Rfam family "Bacterial small subunit ribosomal RNA", at positions 524 to 776 of the family's 1533-position model. The record is from RNAcentral.